UACGAAGGGGGCUAGCGUUGCUCGGAAUCACUGGGCGUAAAGGGUGCGUAGGCGGGUCUUUAAGUCAGGGGUGAAAUCCUGGAGCUCAACUCCAGAACUGCCUUUGAUACUGAGGAUCUUGAGUUCGGGAGAGGUGAGUGGAACUGCGAGUGUAGAGGUGAAAUUCGUAGAUAUUCGCAAGAACACCAGUGGCGAAGGCGGCUCACUGGCCCGAUACUGACGUUGAGGCACGAAAGCGUGGGGAGCAAACCGG
Molecule: ribosomal RNA, 253 nt
Filed under: uncultured bacterium
Lineage: Bacteria
Description: partial 16S ribosomal RNA
Rfam family: Bacterial small subunit ribosomal RNA
Source: RNAcentral